RNAcentral lists this ribosomal RNA (327 nucleotides) under uncultured eukaryote. Its description in RNAcentral is "partial 18S ribosomal RNA". It matches the Rfam family "Eukaryotic small subunit ribosomal RNA", at positions 1470 to 1796 of the family's 1831-position model. The record is from RNAcentral.
CCCUUAGAUGUUCUGGGCCGCACGCGCGCUACACUGAUGCAUUCAACAAGCCUAGCCUUGACCGAGAGGUCCGGGUAAUCUUUGAAACUGCAUCGUGAUGGGGCUAGAUUAUUGCAAUUAUUAAUCUUCAACGAGGAAUGCCUAGUAAGCGUGAUUCAUCAAAUCGCGUUGAUUACGUCCCUGCCCCUUGUACACACCGCCCGUCGCUGCCCGGAACUGAGCCGUUUCGAGAAAGCCGGGGACUGACGGCUUGUGGGUGCGCAAGCGCUUCUUGCCGAUGGAAACCAGUUUAAUCGGUAUGGCUUGAACCGGGCAAAAGUCGUAACA